RNAcentral lists this transfer RNA (64 nucleotides) under Perna perna. RNAcentral's name for it is "tRNA-Val". Lineage: Eukaryota; Metazoa; Mollusca; Bivalvia; Mytilida; Mytilidae. The record is from RNAcentral.
AUAAAAUAGUAUAAGAAAAUUACAUCUCAUUUACACUGAGAAAAUUAAAUUUAUUUAUUUUAUU